GGGGGGUGGUCAGGGAGUGGUGGAGGGGAAAGAGAGGCCGAGCGAGAGACAGUCAGACAGACUGCGUAGCAGAUGGCCGCGCGAGGGGGCGGGGUCCAGGCGGAGCGCGGGGGGACCCCAAGCGUCGGGGCGCGAGGGAACCAAUCAAUUCCCGCAGCCACUCCGGGGCUAGAAAACAAGUGUAGACGCAGAGAUUCGCGCCCCACCAGCGGUCCCUAGUUUACGGUAGAAAACACGAUUUCCUUUCGAUACGAAAGCGCGUGUAGAGCGUAGUUCGGAGAGCCGGCGGUCCGCAGUAACUGGCUGGGGGAGGCGGUUUGCGGCUGCCCGGGGCGCUGAGCGCUGGGGCAGUUUCUCCUGACCUCUCCCUGCGUCGGGCCAGCCAAGGGGAAAGCCUCGAAUGGGAGAGAGGGGUGAAGGCAGAGGAUGGGUGAGGAAGGAAAGGGCUGAGAAAUGGCAAGAGCCCAUCCUGCCUCGGAAACUACAUAAUGGCAGGGAAGGACCGCCAGCAAGACUGGAACCAGUACAAGUUGCACAGUUGUUUGUGCAUUUGACUCAGCUACAGCAGUAGUUGCACCGGGAGGGGCAAAAUGUCACCCAAGAGGUAGAGAAGAAAAAAUAGCAAUUGAGACACCAGUGUCACGUGAUUCAGGGUUGAUGUCCAGCCCAGAGCAUGGCUGUCCCGAAGGUGUCAUAGCAGUAGUGGCUCUCUGGAGCUGUUGUUUCCUCUAGGAAGAAAUACAGCCUUUUAGGAGUCUCACAGAACUUCUUAGAUCCUACUGUUGAAGUCUGUGGCUCCUCUCUGGUGCAAUGGAUCCUGGGAAGAUGUGGUACAGAAGGGACAGUUCAUAAAGAGGAAUGGACUUCAAAUGAAGAGACCUCAUUAAAAUGCAUGCUUCUCAUUCUUGGAGCUCUACAAAUAAAGGAGAAGCAAGAGACCAUCAACAAGAUGGUGUUUGUUUCAAGUUUUACAGGGAGAAGAGAUGAACCGUGAGUGCAGAAGGAACAGAGAGAAAGAGGGAGACACAGAAUCCGAAGCAGGCUCCAGGCUCCGAGCUGUCAGCCCAGAGCCCAACGCGGGGCCCAGACUCACAGACCAUGAGAUCAUGGCCUGAGCCAAAGUCAGACACUUAACAGACGGAGCCACCCAGAGAGAGAGCACGCGCGAGAGGGAGAGGGGCAGAGGGAGAGGAGAGAGAGAAUCCCCGGUGCGGGGCCCGAUCCCACAAACCUGGGAUCGUGACCUGGGUCGAAACCAAGAGGCAGAUGCUCAACCCUCUGAGCCACCCAGGCUCCCCCCAGAAAGGACCUUCUAGAACUCUAAAGUAGUGUAUCCAUGUUUACUGUUCUUGCUGCCACGGGGAACACUAAUCAGGAACCCCUUCAUUAUUCCACUGAAAAAAAGUUUAUUGCACACAUGGAUGCCUUCUACAACUAUUCCGAUGAGACUCUGGCACACGUUAUUCCCACAUUUUCCAAGGCUCUUCAAAGUUCCAAGCCCUCAGGAAUUCUGUGACUUCACACUUGCUCAAAAUAUGAAUCUGAAAAUAAAAUUAAUCUAUGGAGUAUAAAAAAGUCAGUUGAAAAGACUCAAUGACAUGGACCCUUCUGUAAGUGAGCAGCAAAGCAUUAACUGGUCUUAAGAGACUUCCAUCAGCAGCCAGGUGCCUUGCGGUUCCCGGGAGUUCUAGAUCCAAGACUCCCUCAGCACCAUCUUCCCGGAAACACUGCUUCAGGGUCAUUACCACAAAGAGAGAAGUGUUCAAAAGGAGAGUGCCAUCAUGGAGCCCACGCCAGCUUUCCACAUGCUUACCCUGGAUUUUAGCAGUAAAUUGUUGGGUGUUCACAUAGUGUGUUAUUUACUGUAUGGCACUUUAUCUGUGUUUAUAAACCAUAGACUUGGUUUUCCUGCCAACUUCAGUGUGGGAUAAUUGAAAUUAAAAAGAAAGAAACCAAGUGCCAAAGUCUGCAAGUCUCAUCUGUAAAACAAAAAGGGGAAAAGCAGCUGAACUGAAUUUCUAAGUAAAAUAUGUUGUAUCUAAUGUAAAACAAUUCUAAAAUCAUUUUCGAAAAGAAUCCUAAUGAGGAAGUGUCUUUUCAUUACCAAGAAAUUGUGCACAAUUCGUAGCAUAUAACCAUAAAAUUUUAUGGUGACUUUGAUUUCAUUAACGUUUCCUUGUUUAUUUACCACAUUAGAUAUAUACCACAAUCUAUGAAAUCUGAACAAUUAAAAGUUACCUAAAGUUAUAUUAUGCUACAAUGAGAUAUAUUAUGCUACAAUGAGAUUAUAUUAUGCUACAAUGAGAUAUGUAGCAAUGAGAUAUACUACAAAAGAUAUGCUUUUAUCUCUUUUUGAGCUAUGAGUUUUCAACUUCUAAACUGUUGCAUUGAAGGCUAUCUAAAACCCUGUGUCAAGCAUACCCUUUCCCCCCCACAGAUAAAAUCCUGUGACUUCUCCAUGAUAGGCUUCUGUAACUCACUUCUUUUUCGAAAUUAAGUCCGUGAUUUUGUUCUCAUUCAGCCUCUGCACAGUCUGAAAUUCAGCUUGAGCUAUUUCAUUUCUUACUUUUUACACUUGUGUUGACUUUGGGGAAUGUUUUUCAUAUACUCUUUAUGCUUUGCUUUUAUAUCACUCACCGAAAAGGUAGCUGCAAUUUACAUGUUCAGUGAUCUCUUUUUCACAGCGUUCUAAUAUUAAUCUCUUAGACAUUCUGCAAAUCUGCUAUGCUUCAAAUUAGCCACUCUAGUUCUUGUCUGACCUAGAUACCUAGAUUGCAAACUCUUCGGGGUAAGGAUCUUGUCUCUUGGUGGUUUAUAAUGUGUUCUAGACACUUCUUACCAGAUGCUGAGUAAUCAUAAUAUGCAAACUGGUGUAAUUAGAUCAUGAGUCUGUGAAUGACAGUGUAACUUGUAGAUAGCAUUCUACAGCUAGGUUAGGGUGUGGUCCAGUAGCACAGAUAGCCAGAGGUGGGUAAAAUGAUUAAGCAAAGGGAAAUUGGAAAUAAAGUCAUUAAAAGGGUAAGGGAAACCAAACCUCUUGUAGUAUGGUUAUUGAUGCCAAAGAGAAGUCGAGGUGGACUGUCAAACCUUGGAGGAGACUUGUACUGUAAGAGGCGUGCCAAAUAGGCUGAAUGAGAAAAUAUGAAAGCCCAUGACUGUUCACUUUGAGCCUGUUGGAAACCGGAAACAAACAAACAAACAAACAAACAAAACUAUUCCUCAGGUACAAAAAGCCAAUGAAUAUUUGAAAAAUGUGGUGGUAAUAUCCCACCUCACUUGGAAACCGAUCUGAUUAGUCUGUGACCCAAAUGAACUUUUUUUCCUGUUUCUAUAUUGUUAUGGCUCUAAUCUCCACAUCUCCUAGGAGUUUGGAAAGUGACAAGUUAGAAACAGAAAUUUGGAGACACUCCUUCUCUAGCAUCAGGUCGCUUCUGGUC
Molecule: long non-coding RNA, 3437 nt
Organism: Acinonyx jubatus (cheetah)
Lineage: Eukaryota; Metazoa; Chordata; Mammalia; Carnivora; Felidae
Exons: 10
Source: RefSeq, a predicted model, not a curated record